RNAcentral lists this long non-coding RNA (1226 nucleotides) under Monodelphis domestica (gray short-tailed opossum). RNAcentral describes it as "lncRNA (ENSMODG00000047694.1)". Lineage: Eukaryota; Metazoa; Chordata; Mammalia; Didelphimorphia; Didelphidae. The record is from RNAcentral.
AUGCCGAGGGGUGAACCUGGUCUUGGGGAUGGUGGUCUGGUGGUCGGCCCAACGCAGACCCAACCCGUCUUGCUGCUGUUUUUCCUGAUGCCCACCCAGACGGGGAUUUCGCCUUGGAGGAAGGUUCAAGGAACCAUCCCUUUGAAAAGUCAGAUGCAGGAUUCCCUUGUGCCAGAUCCAGACUUCUAUCAAAUACCUCAGUUUGGCUGCCAUUUUGGCUCCCCUAUCCUUGAGAGCAAAGGUAAAAUCAGACCAGGGAAUGAUAUUUCCAUUUAUGCUUCAAAAUCUAGUCCAUUUUUUCUCCCUUUCAUAGUGUUGCAAUUUUCUGUACACUUGGCUGCUCAUUGGGUAAGUGCAUAAUUGUUACUAUAGGCUUGUGGGGCAUAAAUCACUUUAAUUGGGCCCUGAUUCAAGGACCUAUUAUGGGCUUAUUUUUCCUUACUUAAAAUUUUUAUACAUUAGACUUUGAUAUUGUGUGUGACAUCCAGAAGUUACUUUUUCUCUUUUAUUUUUAUAUAUUUUUGAAUUGUCUUUUGACAAUUGAUUCAUAUACCUCAUAACUCAGCUAUGUAUACUGGAGUGAUCCAUAUGUUGGUCAACAUCAUUCUCAGAGUAGAUGGUAUUAUCAUCAUAAAAUUCUGGUUUUAUAAAUAUUUGUUUGAGAGUAAUAUUAGGAUAAGUAACUUGCUACCUCCCUGAAUCAAGAAAGUGAACUGUUUGGAGAAGGUGUCAUGGAGAUGCCUGCAGAAACCAUACACUGCAUCAAAAAAUACAGAAUGAACUUUGGGAUGUAGUGAAAUUGAACUGUGGGGAAUUUGAAUGCAUUUAUUUUGAAGGUACACUUUUAUGCCAAAGGCUAUUGUCCCCUUAUUGGCUUUUUUGUCAAUGCCCCUAUCAUUAGUUUUGUUCUCUUUCUCUUUUAUUUCUCUCUUAUUCCCAAAUUAUUGUAAUUGAUCUCUUUCUUAUUUCUCUCUUAUCCCCAAAUUAUUGUAAUUUCCCCAUAGAAAGUGCAAUAUUGUAUGCACCUCUAGUUAGAGAUCUUUAGAGAUAUAAGUUGGUUAUGUGUACUGAGUCAUUGUGGAAACUAAGCAUGUAAAUCUGGGAGAUUUCUACAUGUUCGUUUCCCAAUGGAAUCACAGGGAGGAUUGUAUAAUUAGAAUCUGCACCCCAGGACUCUCUCUCCCAGCAUCCUACUUUCAUUCUCACGUUACAUCCUUACAUUUUGG